This 7692-nucleotide long non-coding RNA is filed under the name Homo sapiens (human). RNAcentral's name for it is "HSALNT0247413". Lineage: Eukaryota; Metazoa; Chordata; Mammalia; Primates; Hominidae. The record is from RNAcentral.
CCGGCCUUCCCCGCUCCCCCGCGUCCUCCGCCGCCCGCCGCCCGUCCCUUCGGAAGCGCCGAUUCCUCGGGGAGGAGGAGGCGUGAGGGGAGGCGGCGGAGGCAGCCGGCACGGGGCGCUCGGGCCGCGGGGCAGGGGGCGCGGGGUGCCUCCUCGGCCUCGGCUCUCCCCGCCCCGGGGCGCCCCGAGACCGCCGCCUGCCUCCGCGGGCAGCUUUGUUCUUCUUUCCUCCAACUACCUGUCUGAGCCGCGGGCCCCAGAGGCCCCAAAGAGAGGCCCGGAGGGUCUCCCCAGCAGCAUCCGAGGGGCGCUCUCGGGGAGCUAGGGGCCAGAGUCCGCGGUCCCUCCGUGCCUGCCUCCCUCCCCUCGUGCCUCGGUCUUUUGUUGCCUCUACUCCUCGGCACGGCGCAGCCUGGGCUCUCUUCCCCCUCCCGCUUGGGAGUUUGCAGUGUGGACGCUCGGCAAGCACAGUUUUACUGAAGCACUGUUUGCAGAAAGCCUAGCGGGCUCAGAAAACCAGCCAUGCCAUGGUGGGAAGAAAGCCUUGCUGAGAUCCUGUGGCUGAAAACCAUCAUGGGCUUUUGCUUUCAGACUGCCCAUUGCCAACCGAUGCAGGCCCAGAGAAGCAAGGAGGAGUGCUGUUCUGGGAAGGCGGUGGGCACAUAGAUGGAGCUAGACUUGCGACUUCAGGCCCUCAGCAGCCACAUGAUCUUGCAGCUGUGGGCCAUGCACCUGCUUCUUGGGCCCAUGAUUAACCAGAUGUUCAGCUCCUUAAAGACAGACUUCGGGGCCCUUGGCUGGCAGGGGAUGCAAUCUGCAGAUGAGAAGCUCUGAGAAGCAGUUCUCAAAGCCAGGAUCCAGAGGCUCAGCCAUGUGAGUUUCCUGUGAGAGGGAAAAGGCAGGAGCAUAGAGGCCACUGAAGUUGUUCUCAAAAGCCCCAAGAUACCUUUGGUCUCAGUGGAGGCAUCCAGGACACAGCUGUCUUCACUUCUUCACUCAGUCAUUUAGAAAUUGUUCAGUGAGCACCCACCCUGUAUAAUUCACUGCUGCUGCAGCUGAGCUCAACAUGGUGUCAUCUAGGGGAGGAGCUUGAAGAGGUUGUGUUAAGGAAGAACCACGAGAGGAGUGCCCAGUUGGAUGUGACCCCGGAUGUGUAGGCAUCCAGGAGGCUGAAAGAAGGCUGACCCAGGGCCUGAUCACUUGACAAUGGACAUGCUACCUCACAGAGCAUAACACCACAACUAACACAUCCUGAGCCCUCAAUCAAUGUUGUGCAAUAAAGGAAUAAACCUGGAUGUCUUUCCUGUAACCAAACAUUGGACUAUUCAUCAACUGUGCACUUUUUGUUCCCCAACGAGCACAAGGGUUUGGACUGCACCAUCCCCACUCUUUCUUGACUCUCUCUGUACACCAUAAAUGCAUGGUUCAGGGUGAUUUUGCUGGGCAAGGGUGAUGGUUUGACUAUUUGUGUCCCUCCAAAAUUCAUGUUGACACUUAAUGCCCAUUGUGGUGGUAUUAAGAGGUAGAGACUUUCGGGAAGUGAGUAAGUCACGAGGCCUCUUUAUAAAAGAAGCUUCAGGCCAGGUGCAGUGGCUUAUGCAUGUAAUCCCAGUACUUUGACAGGCUGAGAUGAGAGGAUCAUUGAGCCUAGGAUUUCAAAACUAGCCUGGGCAACAUAAUGAGACCCUAUCUCUAUUAAAAGUAAAACAUUAGCUGGGCAUGGUGCGGUGCACCUGUAGUCUCAGCUACUUUGGAAGCUGAGGCAGGAGGAUCACUUGAGCCCAGGAGGUUGAGGCUGCAGUGAGCUAUGAUUGCACCACCGCACUUCGGCCUAGGCAACAGCGUGAGACCUUGUCACACACACACACACACACACACACACACACAAUAGUUUCAGACAAUAGCCUGGCCUGGCCUUCCCAUCUCUUCUGCUGUGAAAACACAACAUGCAUCCCUUUUUGCCUCUUCAGCACAUGAGGAUAUAGCAAAAAGGCCCAGGCCCUCAACAGGCACUGAAUCUGCUGGUACCUUGAUCUUGGACUUCAGAGCCUCCAGAACCAUAAGAAAUAAAUUUCUAUUCUUUAUAAAUUACUGAAUCUGUGGCAUUUUGUUACAGCAGCACAAACAGACUAGGACAGGGAGGUUGGGAGUGCACCGUGUGAUGUGUCUUUGCAAAGUCUACCCUGUACCAAGCUGACUGGCCCUAUGGGAUUUGUUAGCAACUAGCUGGGCCAGAUCAUUAGAAAACAAUUUGAAAUGCAGAAUGAGGAAUGGUGGCAAAUUUGGCUAUUUUUCUCAGGGUUUUGUUCAGCACCAUUUGCUGCCAUGCUACCAGCAUAGUGGUUUGUGUGGCCUGUACAUCCAGAAUACCUGGGUUCAAAUCCUGCUCCCUGCCUGUGUGAUCUUGAGCAGGUGAUAUGAGCUGCCUGUGCCAAGUUCCGCAUCUGUAAAGUGAGGGUGGUAAAAGGACCUACCUCGUAGAGUUGCUAUGAGAAUGAAGUAAGUUGGCGGGUGAAAAGGUGGUGAAUAUUCGUAUUAUUGAUGUUAUUAUCACUGUAAGCAGCAGUGGCAGCAGCUGCCAAGCCUCACAUUCCAACCUGAGAAUUUCCAAGAGAAGGCAGAUGAUCUUGUAAAACUCCAGGAAGUCACAUCUCUGAUUUCCAGCCCUCCUGUCUACAGAGCCAAACCUUUCCGCAGAACUCUCCCUGCUACCAUAAAAUGCUGCCUCCACAGAGGGAACCCUCCCCAGGCACAAGGCAGAUGGUUGCUCCGUUCCAUGUGGCCCCUCACUGCAGUGCAGUGAUGAUGUUUGGGCUGAGCAAAAGACUUCAGUGCUCAGAGGAGAAGGAGCAGGAGGCUUUGCCAGCUUCCAUUUGCAUGAGAAAAGAACUGAGAGGAGAGGGGAGAAGGGGGAAGAUGCUUGCUUCCUCCUUCCAUCUUGGCAUUCACAGAGCAGGCUGCAUUUGAACACUGCCGUGCUAUGUACAUUGGAUCCAUGCAAUGUUACAUAAGUAUUUCAUAAGGGACAAGGUGACUUUGUGUUUUUUUCACCUGUUCUUCUCCUCUGAUCCCAGAAGCUGGGAAGUAGGCUGGAUGCAGAGAAAAGAGCAUUGUUCUCAAGUCUGCUUCACUGCUUAAAGACUAAGAAGGAAAAAAAAUAGAAAGGAAAACAAGAAUCAUUGUCUCUUUUGUUUUCUCUUUAAAAUAUAAAAGGAACUCUGAAACCAAAGUUCGGAUGACAUCGUAUGACAUUUUCCUUUCCACAUGGAAAAAUUUUGAAUAAAAGAUCUGUUUUCUGGGUUGACACUUCUGGGCUCUUUCAAUCUCCAGUAGCAGCAAACUGCUGUCAUUUCUGGAAAUAAGGAUGGCAAGACUCAGGGGGUUAAUCUGCCUGAUUUUGCUCUCCAAGGGUGACAGCGUAAAGCUCUUUGGCUCUGCAUCCACAGUAAUAGCUGAGGGCAGCGCUGCCCAACAGAACUUUCUGUGGUGAUGGAAGCCUUCUCUAAUCUGUGCUGCACAUCUGGCAGCCACGAGCCACACGUGGCUAUUGAGCGCUGGAAGUGGGGCUGCUGUGACUGUGGAACUGAGUUAACUUCACUGUUAAUUUAAAUUUAAAUGGCCACGUGUGGUCUGUGGCUACAGUAUUGGCAGGUGCAUGAGAGCAAUAGCAAAACAAACUGUAAGUAGCAUCCACAGAUGUUGACUGAAUGCAUCACACAGAUAAGAUGGAAAAGGAAGAGCCUAAAAGUUCUGAAGAGUGAUGUUCCCCUUCCACAGGAGCAGUUUAUGUGUCAGUGGCAAUGAUGUUUUAUGAAUAUUUGGGAUGACCAUUUUCUGUUUCAUCUUUCAGCUGUGGGAGUAGCAGUCUACUUUAUUUCUUUUCAAUUUUUUUUUAGAGAUGGAGUCUUGCUAUGUUGCCCAGGGUGAUCUUGAACUCCUGGCCUCACAUGAUCCUCCUGCCUCAACCUCCCAAAGUGUUGGGAUUACAGGCAUGAACCACCAUGCCUAGCUCAGUCUACUUUUUUUAAAAGAGGAAUGAGAUCAAGAUCACAUUUCAAAAAAUAUGUUGUCUCCUAAAGUAAGUAAUAUUUCUACCUGGAAGCUCUUCCUUCAAGUCUAAAGUCAAAGGGAAAGACAAUAAUUUCUUCUAGGCUUUUGAGGUGAUGAUCAUGGGGUUUGCUUAGAUGUCAGAUCCACGAGUCACCCUAAAGCCUGAAGAGACAGAGUAGAUGGGAGCUGGUGUUGGGUGAACACUGGACUGGUCCCAGGGCUGCGGUUCUUGAUCAGUGUAAUGCAGGAAGGAGUCGCCAAUGUGGCCACGCUCCUGGUAGGGGUUCUUUGUAGGUACUAGAGGCUCAGUAGCUGUCCUGAGUCAAAAGACCAAAGAAAAAGGGAAGCCUCAAGGAGAGAUGAGAGGACAGCAGAUGAAAAUGAGCCUGCAGGAAACCAAGCUCUGAGGAGAAAUGGGCAGGCAGCCAAGAGCAGGGCAGAAACUGCAGCAGUAGCAGCGGCAGCAAUGAAGUCUCCAAGUUAUGAGUGGCAGGCUCUGAGAACAAUGAUGGAGCAGGAAGUUAAUGCAGAGGGCAGGCAGAGAGCCCCUGAGACGAUAAGCAAGAUGAGUGGAGAAAACCGACAGGACUUAGACCUGGGCAUGGGCAGCAGAGGACCUUAUCCCAGCAGCAGAGGGACUGGCAGUUAAUGACGAUGCUCGAACAUCUGCUAUACGUUGGGAAUUUUGCACGCAUUUAAUAUUUUGCAUGCAGAUAAUAUUAUUCCCAUUUUAUGAAUGAAUGAGCCCAGACUUAAAGUGCUGGAGGGAUUUAAUAUUCUCCUGGAUCUAUCUGCCUUGCUGGCUACUCCUUCAGGCUUCCUUUUGAGUUCAUUCUUCUCUUACCACGUCUGUAAAUGUUAGAAUUUUUUAAGGAAUGUUACACAGUUGAGUCGUCUUCUCUUCUCACCCCCUACUUACUCAGCACAGUAUAAACCACUCUCUGGGAACUCCAGAAUUUUGUCUCUAUCUGGAAUCUCCCCUAGGAAUGGCAAAAUUAACCUAAAGAAUGUACAAGGAAGGAAAAAAUAGACAUAAACCUAGGUAUUUUUAUUUUGUUAAUUAGAAAAGUAGAAAGAACAGAUAAUGAUUCCAAGAGUUGCUUUUCAUUUAACCAAUAAAAUAACAAACCCUUAACUGACCCAAUAAAGAAAAUGGGAGCAGUCACAAAAUUAGGAAUGAGAAAAUAUUUCAAGAGACCACUCUGCUCAAUGCUAUGUUGAAACUUUUGAAAACCUAAAUACCAAUUAAAUUUUUCCAGUAAAAUAUUUAUGACCAAGGUUUACUCUACAAGAGAGUCUACUACUAGAGUUGCCAGAAUUAGUAUACAGAAAUUUGAAUUUUAGAUAAAUAAUUUUUUAGUAUGUCUUACGCAACAGUUAGGACAUACUUUUACUAAAAAAAAAAAAAAGUCAUUGGUUGUUAUUCUGAAAUUCAAAUUUAAUUGGAAAUCCUGCAUUUUAACUGGCCGAUCUAUUAAAACAGAUAAAUUAUUGUGGAGAAACAAUAGGAACUUGUCAAAAGCUUUAAAAACAUCAAGAUCAGAAGUUUCAGGUAAAGCGUAUGAAUUAAAUUCAAGCAAUAUUUUCAACUCUAUUUAAAUGAUUCCAAAGCAUAAAAAAACAGCUUCUAAGACAUUUUUAUAAAGCUACAAAGACUGAAGUCAAACCUGACAAGGAGAGUUAAAAAAUGUGGGCAAAACAGUGGUGAAUAUUCAUGAUAAAAUCUUACUGUGAUAUUCACAAACAUGGGGGAAUGAUAUUUUCUUUAAAAUCGACAGACUUUUUAGAGAAAAAAGGCAGUUGAAGAAAUUAUCAACAGUGAUUUUACCAAGUUCUUUGUAUUUUUUCUCAGUCUUAACAUGCCUAUAUAUAUUAUGUACAUAAUUCUUAGCUGUAAGUCAUUUUUAUAAUAGAUGCUAUUUUCUGCAAGCCUCUCAAAUUAAAACCCAUUGUUCUGAAAGUACUAAUCAAUGCAAUUACAUAAGGGAAAAAAUGAGACAUAAAUACUUCAACCACGGAGGCAAAAUUAUUACUGUUUUCAAACAAUGUAGUUAUUUACCUAGAAACUGCAAAAGAAUCAAUUGGAGGAAUUCUGUUACCAGCAGAAGAUAGUUCAGUUAGGUGGAUUGGUUUCACAAUGAAUAUCCACAUUCAGUGGCAUUUCAGUAAACAAAUAGUAUUCAGCUAUAAAAUAUAAUGGAGCAAAUUAUCUCAUUUAUAAUAGCAUAAAAAAGAUAAUGUGCCUAGACAUAAAUUUAAUUAAAAAUAUAGGCUAGGUAUGUUGGCUCAUGCCCAUAAUCUCAAGACUUUGGAGGGCUGGAGGAUCCCUUGAACCCAAGAGUUUGAGACCGUGAGACCCCAACUCUACAAAAAAAUAAAAUUAGCUCGGCAUGGUGUGCAUGCCUGUCAUCUCAGCUAUUGUGGAGUCUGAGGCAGGAGGAUUGUUUGAGCCCAGGAGUUUGAGGCUGUAGAGAUCUGAUUGUGCCACUGCACUCCAGCCUGGGUGACAGAGUGAGACCCUAUCUCUAAAAAUAAAUGGGGGGCUAUUAAAUAAAACAACAACGUGUAACACUUCUUGAAGGACAAAAAAAAAAUAAAAAUAAAUAAGUAGAAAGACCUGUCAAAGACCUAUCAUAUUCUUGGGUAGGAAGAUUCAAUACUGUAAAUGCAUAAGUUUACCCUAAAUUAAAUCCAUAGAUCCAAUUUAAUCCUCAUCAAAAUGCCAACAGGCACUUUUAUAUCUUGAUAAAGUAUUAAAGUUACUUGGAAACAUAAGUUUGAGGAAACUCCAUAGACUCCCGUAUGCAAUAAUCCAUUAAUAACCCAGUAAUAUUGGGGAGGAUACACAAGAAGCUGUUUAUAAUAUUCACCUCUUAGCAGUGGAAGUGAGGGGUAAAGACUUGAGCCAAAGAUGUAUUUUCAUGUUAUACUCAUCUAUGCUAUUUGAAUUUUUCCACAGGUGCAAAUAUUACUUAUAUGAUUAAAAAUAGUUAUUUUAAAAGAACAUUUCCAUUAUAUUGAGUACUGAUUUGUAACCCUCUCUGCUCAUUAGAAUCAUAUAGGGAGCUUUGGAAAGACACCAGGUCUCAGCACUUGCCUCCAGAUUCUAAUUCAAUUUGGCUGUGUUAGGGCCCAGGCAAUGGCAUUUUUUACAAAAGUUCUCACUGAUUCUGAUGUGGAGCCAGGGCCGAGAGCCACCACUGUCAAGUAACCCAUGGCAGCAUUUUCCAACUUUUGGUCACAACCCUUCGGUUAGGAAAUCAACUUAAUGGCUUGGGACCAGAGUUAAAAACAAACAAACAACAACAACUGAAACCAACUCAAUUGAGCAGAAACUUGUGCAUGCCUGUUGUGUUUAAGACAUGUCUCUUUCUGGGGGAUGUCAUCCAAAACAUUGGAAAACCCCUACCUUAAGUGGUUCAGAUCUUUCAGACUUUCUGAGACAUUUUAUCAGAAUUUGUGUGAACUAUUAAAGGCUUUUUACUGUUUAAAAGUUAUAUUGUAAUUCUGACUUUUGUUCACGUAUUUGAUGAUUCAAUUAUUUAUUCAUUACAUAGUCAAAGGUAGAAAAUUACAUGUAAUUACUUGUGCUUAUCUGAUAAGCAUAGUGACUGAUGUAUGUAAAUGCUCAAUAUGUGAUGG